UAGGGAAUAUUGGACAAUGGGCGAAAGCCUGAUCCAGCCAUGCCGCGUGAUAGAUGAAGGCCCUCUGGGUUGUAAAUAUCUUUUAUCUGGGAAGAAACACCUUAUUUCUAUAAGGCUUGACGGUACCAGAGGAAUAAGCACCGGCUAACUCCGUGCCAGCAGCCGCGGUAAUACGGAGGGUGCAAGCGUUAUCCGGAUUCACUGGGUUUAAAGGGUGCGUAGGCGGGUAUAUAAGUCAGUGGUGAAAGCUCCGGGCUUAACUUGGAAACUGCCAUUGAUACUGUAUAUCUUGAAUGUCGUAGAGGUUAGCGGAAUGUUGCAUGUAGCGGUGAAAUGCUUAGAUAUGUUACAGAACACCAAUUGCGAAGGCAGCUAACUAUGCGAUGAUUGACGCUGAGGCACGAAAGCGUGGGGAGCAAACAGGAUUAGAUACCCCUGUAGUCC
RNAcentral lists this ribosomal RNA (444 nucleotides) under uncultured bacterium. Its description in RNAcentral is "bacterial SSU rRNA". It matches the Rfam family "Bacterial small subunit ribosomal RNA", at positions 355 to 796 of the family's 1533-position model. The record is from RNAcentral.